CCAAAUCCCGGUCGACCAAAUCCCUAACCCUCGUUCCCCAUUCAGUGCAGCGGCAGGGCGAGGCAAUAUCGCUCACGGUCGGCGGCGAGGCCGUAUCCUUGCACCACGGCGGCAAGCCUCCGGAGCUCAGGUGAGCUGACGCCGCAUCCUCUUCUUUCCCCCUAUCCAAUCCCUAUCUUAGACACUCUCCCACCCGUGUCUCACUGUUUAGAUGGGAGGAUCUGGCAUUCCGCGGGGUGAAGAUGGAGGACGACGGGGAGCCAUGGGCAAAGAUUACGUCUGUCGUCACUGAAUCCAUCUCCCCUCUCUGGUUCUAUAGUUCAUCAAAGAUUGGUAUUUUAGAUGAUUUGCACGAUUCAAACACAGGACCAUGAGAUGCCAGAUGUGGUGGGUGCAUGCCGCGGCACGAGGUAGAUCACACCUUGCUUGCAAGAAAGAGGUCCUGGAGCAGAGUCUAAAGGAGAAAGAGGUCCUGGAGCAGAGUCUUUGGUUUAGUUGCAAUCAUGUUUGCAAUGGCUGGGAGGUCCUAAUGCAUGAAUGAGCAAUGUUGAAGCUCUUCUUUUGGUGAACUCAGUGUGCUGUAGUAGCUACUUUGUAUGUGUACUGAAUGAAAAUGGCAAUACAAUGAAGCUUCUGAAUUUUACAUGUUUUAUCUGACAUUUCCUGUACUGCAAUGACUGAAAGUGAGCCUGCAUUAUGAUGAAUUCGGUACUAGAUGCACUUUCAGAAAUGUACUAGCUUUUGUGAACUGGACUAGUACAGAAUCUUAUAGGAC
RNAcentral lists this long non-coding RNA (775 nucleotides) under Triticum aestivum (bread wheat). RNAcentral's name for it is "long non-coding RNA (TAES_LNC028280)". The record is from RNAcentral. Lineage: Eukaryota; Viridiplantae; Streptophyta; Magnoliopsida; Poales; Poaceae.